UAGAUAAGGGUAUCAGCCUCUGGACU
This 26-nucleotide non-coding RNA is filed under the name Mus musculus (house mouse). The record is from RNAcentral. Lineage: Eukaryota; Metazoa; Chordata; Mammalia; Rodentia; Muridae.